CGGGGAGCUAGGGCUUCAACCUAUGGCUUUUGGGGGAUACAGUUCAGUCCAUAGCAGUGGGGAAAGGAUGUGACUCAGUCUAGAGAGACUCAAGGAGGGAAUGCUUAGAUAGGAGCAUGGAGGGCGUGCCUGGUGAAGGGAACAGUAUGGCACAGCUUCAGAGGCAAGGGUGAGCCAGCAGCAAGGGGCUGGCUAUGGCCGGUACAAAAAGCAUGUGCUCGUGGGAAAUAGGCACCAAAGAAGGCCCAGAGAGGUUUAACAACUUCCUCAGAAUCACACAGCUUCCAAAUGGUUGGGUUGGGUUUACAUUUAGGCGGUCUUGCUCCAGAGCCAGUGCUCCUAACCUUUGCAAGCCACGAACCUCAAGAAAGUGGAGAAGGAAACGCUGGGAAAUCUGGAAGUCAGACAUGGCAAGUUUUUCUCACUGUAAGAAGAGGACAAUAGCCUAUGAUCUACAGUGCCCAUUCCAACUCAGAGAAUCUUUACAUCUGGAGAUCUAUAGCAGGGCUAUCCCUAGUGACAUGCGUGAAGAAGCUUGGAAAUGGUGCUGGGUAGGAGCUGAGUGUGCAGAAUGUGGAAAGGCAUUCUAAACCAAAGGAAGAACACGAGUAAAGAUGAUGAAGCAGGGAUAAGGCUAAAAUGAAAUUUGUGAUCUGAUCCACAUACAAGCACAGUGUAGUACAGCUGGAAUAUAGAGAAGAGCUUGAAGACUUAUGAGCAACUAUCCCGGUACUCUUGGAGGCUCUGCAACCACAGUUUGAGAAACUCCGCGUUCAAAGUUAAAAACUGUCACCUGAAUAGUUAAUAACAUCAAAGAUUGUGAAAGCAAGUAUAAAUAACACAGAGAUUAAAAUAAUGAGGCAGGAUCAG
This 870-nucleotide long non-coding RNA is filed under the name Homo sapiens (human). RNAcentral's name for it is "HSALNT0066624". The record is from RNAcentral. Lineage: Eukaryota; Metazoa; Chordata; Mammalia; Primates; Hominidae.